GUUUACAUGUGUAAGGAUGGCAUUCAGCACCAAGGACAGGCAUAUUUACCUGUGUGUGGAGAGUGUUUAGUACCAGGGACAGGCAUUUACAUAU
Branchiostoma floridae (Florida lancelet) is the source of this 94-nucleotide non-coding RNA. The record is from Rfam. Lineage: Eukaryota; Metazoa; Chordata; Leptocardii; Amphioxiformes; Branchiostomatidae.